RNAcentral lists this long non-coding RNA (265 nucleotides) under Elaeis guineensis (African oil palm). RNAcentral describes it as "long non-coding RNA (EGUI_LNC024742)". Lineage: Eukaryota; Viridiplantae; Streptophyta; Magnoliopsida; Arecales; Arecaceae. The record is from RNAcentral.
GGGCUAUGAGUUAUUCUUUCACAAUCUCCAACAUCUAAUCUUUCUAAAGUAUAAUUCAUCGAUCACCUAAACAAAAAUUUUGGAAUUUCCUCCAAUGGCUAUAGGAUUGGGUUCCGUAUUCCUCUUUGGUAGGGUGUGUUGAUUGCAUGAUUCUAAUGGGUCCUAUCACCUCAAAGUUGCCAUUUUGCUUAGCCUAAUACUCCAUGACCUCUGCCUCAAGGAUCUAGACCCUUCGAUUUGGUCUUGGCCAUCAAACUCAAGGGAC